Molecule: ribosomal RNA, 519 nt
Filed under: uncultured eukaryote
Lineage: Eukaryota
Description: SSU rRNA
Rfam family: Eukaryotic small subunit ribosomal RNA
Source: RNAcentral
AGGGCACCACCAGGAGUGGAGCCUGCGGCUUAAUUUGACUCAACACGGGAAAACUCACCCGGCCCGGACACUGGAAGGAUUGACAGAUUGAGAGCUCUUUCUUGAUUCAGUGGGUGGUGGUGCAUGGCCGUUCUUAGUUGGUGGAGUGAUUUGUCUGGUUAAUUCCGAUAACGAACGAGACUCUAGCCUACUAAAUAGAUCGUCGGCUUACAAACGCCGGCGAGACUUCUUAGAGGGACAGGCGGUGAUUCAACCGCACGAAACAGAGCAAUGACAGGUCUGUGAUGCCCUUAGAUGUCCGGGGCCGCACGCGCGCUACACUGAAGUGAUCAGCGUGCUUUUUCAACCUACUCUGUCAAGAGUGGGGAACCCAAUGAACCUUCUUCGUGAUUGGGAUAGGGGAUUGUAAUUAUUCCCCUUGAACGAGGAAUUCCCAGUAAGCGCGAGUCAUAAGCUCGCGUUGAUUACGUCCCUGCCCUUUGUACACACCGCCCGUCGCUACUACCGAUUGAAUGUUUU